AGGAUUAACGCUGGCGGCGUGCCUAACACAUGCAAGUCGAACGAGGUAGCAAUACCUAGUGGCAGACGGGUGAGUAACGCGUGGUCAACCUACCGUUGAGUGGGGGAUAACUAGCCGAAAGGUUAGCUAAUACCGCAUACGAGUCUCGGGGGCAUCCCUGGGCCUUAAAAGGAGCAAUCCGCUCGAUGACGGGACCGCGUCCCAUUAGCUAGAUGGUGUGGUAACGGCCUACCAUGGCACCGAUGGGUAGCUGGUUUGAGAGAGCGACCAGCCACACUGGGACUGAGAAACGGCCCAGACUCCUACGGGAGGCAGCAGUGAGGAAUUUUCCGCAAUGGGCGAAAGCCUGACGGAGCGACGCCGCGUGUGGGAAGAAGGCCUUCGGGUCGUAAACCACUGUCGAAGGGGACGAUAAUGACGGUACCCUUGGAGGAAGCCCCGGCUAACUACGCGCCAGCAGCCGC
This 464-nucleotide ribosomal RNA is filed under the name uncultured bacterium. RNAcentral describes it as "SSU rRNA". It matches the Rfam family "Bacterial small subunit ribosomal RNA", at positions 26 to 518 of the family's 1533-position model. The record is from RNAcentral.